ACUUUUGGCCACCACUGUAUAUAUAUCAUUUCGAACUUAUAUUUAUUUUUGAAAAAGUUGCCACUGAAUAUAGCUAUGUACAAUGAAGAUCUCUAAAUUUAGUUUAUGUAUUUUAAUUUAGUGCGUUAUUAAAUAUAAACAUAUAUUUUUUAAUGAAGCGGUUCAUAUAAUUUCGUAUUGGUUUAAAAAUUAAACAUUUUUACUCUAAUAUCUAAUUAAAAUUGAUUUGUAGAAUAGUUUAAAUAUUUUUAAAAGUUUUUCAGUUUAAAUUGUAAUUCUGUUCAUGUUUUAUGCAAACAAAUAUGCUUCAGACCUUAUAAACAUGGUUUCCGCUACAGUGCAGCAAAAUAGAGCACGUGCAAUCAUGGAUUUUUAAUCACUUGUUAAAUUCUGAAACAUUUUUGCUAGCAAACUUGGAUAAAAUGUAAGCCAAAAUUUGCAUGAUUUGUUUUUGAGAAAGCAGAUCACAAUAAUCUGUUUUCCAUCACUAAUAAUCAAAUAGUAAAUAACUAUUACGUGAAAGUUAAAAACUUACUAAAUAAUGUUUAUAAAUUAUAGUUCAUAGAUUUGGUAUGUUACAUGUAAUAUUUUAGAAAUAUUAGUUUUUACAAACAUGUUAGUUUUUAAAAACGUGUUAGCUUUUAGAAACACAGAAGACUAUAUUUACGACUAUAUUUUAUUUAUUUUAUGUCUAUAUUUACUUGUUUGUAGUAUGAGUUUUAAUGACUUAUAUGUUUUUAUAUUCAUCAUGCCAUUAUUUAUUUUUAACGUCAAUCAUUCCAUCUAAAAACGACUUCAAAUCUGUAAUAGCUGAUAUAAGUAACUAACUUUUAUAGUUAAAUAAAGCUAAUUUUUUCAUACUUUUUCAACAUGUAUGGAUGAGAAAAAAAUAUAUUUAUUUUCCAGCGGAUCAAGCAGUUAGCGAUUUCUUCUGUGGCUUCAAUCGAGUGUUCAACAAAAUUGGCAGCAAAGGUGAGUGAUAAUAAUGUUAUUCAUAGUUUAGGAUUAUUAUUUUUUCUUUAUCAAAAUAUAAGGCAAGACAUCAUGAUUAUCUUUUCCUUCGCUUGAUAUUUAAAAUACACUCAUGAUUUAUAUG
Molecule: long non-coding RNA, 1096 nt
Organism: Parasteatoda tepidariorum (common house spider)
Lineage: Eukaryota; Metazoa; Arthropoda; Arachnida; Araneae; Theridiidae
Source: RefSeq, a predicted model, not a curated record